UUUACCAGAGUACUAUGAAUAUAAAAAAUUUAAAACUCAAAGAACUUGGCGGUGUUUUAGACCACUCAGGGGAACCUGUCUCGUAAUCGAUAGUCCACGUUGUAUCUGACCUUUUUUUGUUUUUCAGUUUGUAUACCGUUGUCGUCAGGUAACUUUUUAGAAACAAGAAGUUAGCAAUAGAAAUAUAGUGAUUUAGUACGUCAAAUCAAGGUGCAGCUAAUGGAAAGGGGAGGAUGGGUUACAAUUAUGUGAUUUAUAAUACGGAAAAAUGUAUGAAGUGUGCAUUGGCUAUAAGGCGGACUUGAAAGUAAAUUAGGUUACAUGAAUAAUUUGAAUAAGGCUCUGAAACGUGU
This 353-nucleotide ribosomal RNA is filed under the name Terebridae sp. MNHN IM 2013-58715. RNAcentral's name for it is "partial 12S ribosomal RNA". The record is from RNAcentral. Lineage: Eukaryota; Metazoa; Mollusca; Gastropoda; Neogastropoda; Terebridae.